RNAcentral lists this ribosomal RNA (484 nucleotides) under uncultured bacterium. RNAcentral's name for it is "partial 16S ribosomal RNA". It matches the Rfam family "Bacterial small subunit ribosomal RNA", at positions 30 to 507 of the family's 1533-position model. The record is from RNAcentral.
AUUGAACGCUGGCGGCAUGCUUUACACAUGCAAGUCGAACGGCAGCGCGGGCUUCGGUCUGGCGGCGAGUGGAGAACGGGUGAGUAAUACAUCGGAACGUGCCCAGUUGUGGGGGAUAGCUCGGCGAAAGCCGGAUUAAUACCGCAUACGACCUGAGGGUGAAAGCGGGGGAUCUUCGGACCUCGCGCUAUUGGAGCGGUCGAUGGCAGAUUAGCUAGUUGGUGGGGUAAAGGCCUACCAAGGCGACGAUCUGUAGCUGGUCUGAGAGGACGACCAGCCACACUGGGACUGAGACACGGCCCAGACUCCUACGGGAGGCAGCAGUGGGGAAUUUUGGACAAUGGGCGAAAGCCUGAUCCAGCAAUGCCGCGUGUGUGAUGAAGGCCUUCGGGUUGUAAAGCACUUUUGGCGGGAACGAAAAGGACUGUGCCAAUACCACGGUUCGAUGACGGUACCCGCAGAAUAAGCACCGGCUAACUACGUG